AAAAAAGCUGUGGCGUAUUUCUUUUACUGCGCCUCGGUAAAACUUCAGGGAUAUAAAUAUAUAUACAUUGUUAUUGGGUGAAUCUCUUGAAAUGUUCAUGAUAGAUGGUUCAGUAAAUGAUGUUACAUAA
Non-coding RNA from Capsicum annuum, 130 nucleotides. The record is from Rfam. Lineage: Eukaryota; Viridiplantae; Streptophyta; Magnoliopsida; Solanales; Solanaceae.